GCACGCCGAGAACUCUUCCAUUUCAUCAUGUCCCUUCUUAGCAGUAGGACGCUGCAUAAUUUUACCUCGUAUAAUUUAAAAAUUCCUUAAUUAUGUAUCUAAUUUUUUUAAACACGGGCUUAAGUGAAAAGUGUGUUUAACAAAAAUUUUAAAGUACUAAAAACUCGUAAGAAGGGACAAAGUCAACAACCGGCAUUUAUCAUCGGCAAAUUAUUGUAUUUAUGCAAUAAAAAUGCGAUUCCAAUUUCAAAUCCUAAUAUUCUGAAAUAAUGUCCGAAAUUGAUAUUGAUUUCAACAUCAAUGAAUUAGACGAAGAAAAUAUCUAAAAAUGCAGAAUAAAUAUGAAAUGAUAGUGAUGCCUAUUAAAAAAAAGGGGAAAGGAAAUCUAUCAACAAUAUUUGAUAUGCUUGAUGAAAUCCACUAGCAAUAUCGAAUAUUAAAACGGAGAUGCAAAAAAAAAAAAAAUUUGAUUGAAAAUCGAGGAAUUUCAUUUGUUUCGCCGGAGAAAUUAUUUGAUUCUCCAACGAUACAAUUCAUCAAGAUUACAUACAAUAGAAGAUGAAAGAAGAAAAGAAAAAUUACUCCGAAAGGAAAAUUUCGCAUCUGGAAGUACGAUUAUUAAAAAUAAAUAAUGAAAAAGGAACCAAGAUUAAAUAUCGAAUUAUUGAUGCAAUAAUUUGGUAAUGUAAAAACAAACAUCUUGUUGCUUAUAUUUUUCGAAUAUAUAAUAAUAAGCCUUUUAAUGUCUUUGUUAGAACACGCAAAAGAAAAGGUUUUAUAAGCGCUUUAAAAUUUUUUACCAUUUUUUAAAAAGUAUAAAUCCUUUGAGGAUAAAAAAAAAACUUUUCAGUUAAGGUGGUCAAUAACAUACGUGGUCAAUUUUAGUAUGUUCGUUUUAUUGUUUCAUUCUUAAAACAUUUGGUCUAGCUACUGAAUCUGCUGUGAUAAUGUUAUAAUGUGUAUAAAAUCAAACUAAAUUAGUUUGGACAUUAUAUUUUUUUUCAUAUGUAUCAGAAAUUCGCAAAAGAAUAUGUUUUUGCAACAAUUGUUAAAUUGCAUGUUAAAAAACCAUAAUGGUUAAAGUUUAUUUGCAAUUCGUAUAUACAUAUUUGACAUUCUGCUACAAAAUGACUUUUUUAGUCUAAGAUCUCUUUUGUCGCAAAAUUGUCACUUGUUUAUAUAUACAAUUAUAUUUUACUAUAAUCUCAAUGAUGCUCACUUACGUAGCUUUGUGCUACAAAUUUUACUUUUGUGAAUUUGUCAAAGUACAAUAUUCCAUUCCUCACGAAACUACUUAGA
Molecule: long non-coding RNA, 1299 nt
Organism: Leptopilina boulardi
Lineage: Eukaryota; Metazoa; Arthropoda; Insecta; Hymenoptera; Figitidae
Exons: 3
Source: RefSeq, a predicted model, not a curated record